Molecule: small nucleolar RNA, 85 nt
Filed under: Linnemannia elongata AG-77
Lineage: Eukaryota; Fungi; Mortierellomycota; Mortierellomycetes; Mortierellales; Mortierellaceae
Source: RNAcentral
UGUACGGAUGAUGUUUUUAAACAACGAAUUUCUUCAACUGAAAGACCAUGUUGAGUAUUCUUCACAGAGCUUUUUAACCCUGACC